This 375-nucleotide ribosomal RNA is filed under the name Triticum aestivum (bread wheat). Its description in RNAcentral is "partial small subunit ribosomal RNA". The record is from RNAcentral. Lineage: Eukaryota; Viridiplantae; Streptophyta; Magnoliopsida; Poales; Poaceae.
GACGAUCAAAAAAGAAAGCACUGGUUUUCUUUGUGGAGAAUGUGCAUUCCAAAGAAGAUGGGAGGCAUGGGGUUUCGGGACCUACACUCUUUUAACAUGGCUAUGUUGUCUAAACAAACUUGGAGGCUCCUGAAUAACCCAGACUCACUAUGUGCUCAAGUAUUGAAGGCUAAAUAUUUCCCUGGCGGAAACUUGUUGAACACUGGACCUAAGAAGGGCUCUUCUAUUACAUGGCAAAGUAUCUUUGCGGGUUUGCAAACCUUCAUGCGUGGCCACAUUUGGAGAGUGGGGUCUAGAGCAAAGAUCAAUAUUUGGGAGGACCACUGGAUCCCAAAUAGCCCCUCUAGGAAGAUCAUAACUAGAAGAGGUAAUUGA